RNAcentral lists this ribosomal RNA (481 nucleotides) under uncultured bacterium. RNAcentral's name for it is "partial 16S ribosomal RNA". It matches the Rfam family "Bacterial small subunit ribosomal RNA", at positions 29 to 506 of the family's 1533-position model. The record is from RNAcentral.
UCGAACGCUGGCGGCGUGGCUAAGGCAUGCAAGUCGAACGGACGUACGUUGGGGGUAACUCUGAUGUACGUUAGUGGCGGACGGGUGAGUAAUAGAAGGAUAACGUACCCUGGACUCGGGAAUAGCGGCGGGGGCAACCCCUUUGCGAAAGUGCCGGUAAUACCCGAUGACCCCGCGGGGCCGCAUGGUCCUGCGGGCAAAGCUCCGACGGUCCGGGAUCGGUCCUUUUCCUAUCAGCUAGUUGGUAGGGUAACGGCCUACCAAGGCAACGACGGGUAGGGGGCGUGAGAGCGUGGCCCCCCACAUCGGGACUGAGACACUGCCCGGACACCUACGGGUGGCUGCAGCAACGAAUCUUCCGCAAUGGGCGCAAGCCUGACGGAGCGACGCCGCGUGCAGGAGGAAGUCCUUCGGGAUGUAAACUGCUGUCAGGGGCUGGAAAGUUCUGAUCGGCCCCGGAGGAAGCCCCGGCUAACUACGU